Molecule: non-coding RNA, 29 nt
Filed under: Mus musculus (house mouse)
Lineage: Eukaryota; Metazoa; Chordata; Mammalia; Rodentia; Muridae
Source: RNAcentral
UACAAAUGAGCUGACUGAAGUACCAAGAC